CAGAGACAGGUGCAUCCCUGAGGCUCACUGGCCAGCCAGUCCAGCAGAAAUAGAGAGCCUCAGGACCCAACGAGAGACUCUGUCAAAAAAAAAAAAAAAAAAAAAAAAAAAAAAAAAAAACAACAACAACAACAACAAAAAAAAAACAGCAAGAGGUGGACAGAUCCUGAGGAAUAAUACCAUGGUUGCCCCUGACUUCCACAAGCAGAUGCUCAGGUCACCUGUUUCUCUUCAUCCUUUCAAGAUUUUUACCCUUUGCUUCAUUCAUCACUGCCUACAAUUUGCAGUGUAACAUUGAAUGGAAUUGGUGAGAGAGACCAUUUUCAUCUUGUUCCGGAGCUGAAGCAGAAGGCUUUUCACACACCCACUUCUCAUGUUUGUGAGCUGGUUUCCAUUUCUAGCUUGCUGAGGCUUUCUCUCUUUUUAACUGUGAAUCAUCAUUAAUCAAGGCAGUGCGUUUUUCCAUCAAUUCAUUUAUUGCAGUGACUCUCAACCUACGGUCGAGACCCCUUUGGCAAAUGUGUAUCUCUAAAAAAUGUUUACAUUGAGAUUCACAACAUAGCGACAUUGCAGUUACGAAGUAGCAAUGAAAAUAAUUUUAUGAUUGGGGGGUCACCACAGCAUGAACAUUAGGAAGGUUGAGAACCACUGAUCUAAAGGAAGGCAUGAGACUUGAACAGAUGUCUAUGGACUUCCCCCAAGCUUCAAGUUCACCAUCAACUCCAAUUUUUAAUAUAAACUUGAAACCAUAUAGUCCUCAGCAAUCCUUUUAUUCUCCACACUAUUUCCUGUUUUGAGAACCACUGAUCUAUUGAGAUGGAAAUGCAGACUUUUCUUUACAACAUCUUCAGGUCUGGAAAUGCAGCUCUGGAAAAGGGCACUUGCCUGCCAUCCACAUGGCCCAGGCUAUAGCACUGCAACACACAAACAGUGUUUACCUUUUGUAAAUCACACCAAUUGAUAUUCAAGUGUUUUAAAAUCAACCUUGUUUUCUGAGGACAAUCCCACUUACUGGUGAGACACACCUCUUGCCUACUGCUGGAUUCUGAUUACUAAUAUUUCUUAAUGAUAUUUCCAUAUGUUUAUGAAGGGCAUUGGUCCAUGCUUCUCUUUUCUUAAAUUGUUAUCUACAUUUUGUAUCAAGGUGUUCCAGGCUCAUGAAAUGAAUUUUGAUUGAUUGUUUCCUAUUUCAUUUACUGAAUAAAUUUACAUGGGAUUAUACAUUCUUUUUCUCUUAAAUGUUUUAAUAAAU
This 1252-nucleotide long non-coding RNA is filed under the name Cricetulus griseus (Chinese hamster). RNAcentral's name for it is "lncRNA (ENSCGRG00000026581.1)". The record is from RNAcentral. Lineage: Eukaryota; Metazoa; Chordata; Mammalia; Rodentia; Cricetidae.